Molecule: non-coding RNA, 980 nt
Filed under: Hypogeophis brevis (Mahe caecilian)
Lineage: Eukaryota; Metazoa; Chordata; Amphibia; Gymnophiona; Indotyphlidae
Description: Grandisonia brevis (Mahe caecilian) 12S ribosomal RNA
Rfam family: Bacterial small subunit ribosomal RNA
Source: RNAcentral
CCAAAAGUUUGGUCCUAGCUUUAGUGUCAACUUUAAUUAACCUUACACAUGCAAGUCUCAGCCCUCCAGUGACAACGCCCUNUAUAAAAUAAACAGGAGCCGAUAUCAGGCACAACCUUUCUUUCUAAACGUUAGCCUAUAACAUCUAGCACAAGCCACACCCUCAACGGGCCUGCAGCAGUGAUAAACAUUGACCAAUAAGCAUCAGCUUGACUCAGCCACAAUUAAUUAGAGUUGGUAUAUCUUGUGCCAGCCACCGCGGUUAUACAAGAAACUCAAGUUGACACCUAACGGCGUAAAGUGUGAUUAAGAGAAGUUUAAUAAAACUAGGACUAAAAACCUACUAAGCUGUUAUACGCAUUAGUACCGUAACACACUCAACAUUCUCUAUUUAACGAAAGUAGCCCUAAUAUAAAAAUUAUUCAAAACUCACGACUGCUGAAACACAAACUGGGAUUAGAUACCCCACUAUGCUCAGCCACAAAACUUGAACACCUACACCAAAUACUCCGCCAGAGUAUUACGAGCAAUAGCUUAAAACUCAAAGGACUUGGCGGUGCCCUAAACCCCUCCAGAGGAGCCUGUUCUAUAAUCGAUAACCCACGCUUAACCUCACCACCAUUUGACAACCCAGCCUAUAUACCACCGUCACUAGCCUACCUUAUGAAAGAACUAUAGCAAGCAAAAUUGAAAUUGCCAAAUACGUCAGGUCAAGGUGUAGCACAUAUGGUGGAAAGAAAUGGGCUACAUUUUCUUACAAAGAUCAUACGAAUGAUAUAAUGAAAUCACACCUGAAGGCGGAUUUGGCAGUAAGAACGGAUAAUCAUGCCACUCUUAACAUUGGCCCUGGGGCGCGCACACACCGCCCGUCACCCUCAUCACCUGAUCUUAACCUAUUUUAAUUAAAACACUACCAAGAUACCCCCCAGAUGAGGUAAGUCGUAACAAGGUAAGCGCACUGGAAAGUGCUCUUGGAAUAC